Molecule: ribosomal RNA, 491 nt
Filed under: uncultured bacterium
Lineage: Bacteria
Description: bacterial SSU rRNA
Rfam family: Bacterial small subunit ribosomal RNA
Source: RNAcentral
GUGGAGGACGAAGGCCUUCGGGUUGUAAACUCCUGUCGAGGGGGAAAAAGGGCGGCGACGCCUUGAUUGAUCCCUGGAGGAAGCACGGGCUAAGUUCGUGCCAGCAGCCGCGGUAAGACGAACCGUGCGAACGUUAUUCGGAAUCAUUGGGCUUAAAGCGCGUGUAGGCGGGUUCGUGCGUCCGACGCUGAAAUCCCCCGGCUCAACCGGGGAACGGGCGGGGAUACGACGAGCCUGGAGGGGCGUAGGGGGACCUGGAACUUCCGGUGGAGCGGUGAAAUGCGUUGAGAUCGGAAGGAACGCCCGUGGCGAAAGCGAGGUCCUGGACGCCUACUGACGCUGAGACGCGAAAGCCAGGGGAGCGAACGGGAUUAGAUACCCCGGUAGUCCUGGCCGUAAACGAUGGGUACUGGAUAGGGGGCUCGCCGAUGGGCUCCCUGUCGUAGGGAAACCGUGAAGUACCCCGCCUGGGGAGUAUGGUCGCAAGGCUG